CUGAAAUAGCCAAUCUAUAUCAAUCUGGAUACAAAAGCAUCCUACAUGGUCAGGUAGAAAGUGCUAACGAAAGAUAACAAAUCGUACAUGAAACUAGAAGAUAAUUGCACAUGAGCAACGAUUUACAAGCAAUCAAAACGGGGUGGGGUGGGGUAGGGGUGGGGGGUGGGGGGGUGUCAGAACUUGGCAGCAUUAAAAUUUUGGAUUCUUUAGCUUAGCCAAGCAUUCUAGUAAUUCAAAGAGGAUUAUCGGAUGCAUAUCCCAUAACUUGGAUUUCACCAUCAAAGUGUUUGUAGCUCAACGCCAUGAUUUGGAGAAGGUUGUUGCACUGGGACUAAGCCAUCUUCAACCCAAGAUUGUGUUAGUACGUCCUGAGUUUGUAAGAGCUGAUUAGGUUCUUGUGCCGAUGAAUAUGCUUGUGGUUGGGACAUCCUGUAAUAUGGCUCCUUCAGAUCAAGUUUUCCAGAGGACGUUUGGAGCAUAUCUCCAACAGUAG
Molecule: unclassified non-coding RNA, 496 nt
Filed under: Hevea brasiliensis (rubber tree)
Lineage: Eukaryota; Viridiplantae; Streptophyta; Magnoliopsida; Malpighiales; Euphorbiaceae
Source: RNAcentral